CCCUUCAAUCUGAACUGAAUGCUCUCAUGAUUGAAAAACACAGACUCCAAGCCGAACUGGAGGGUGAGAGCAUUGGAACUGACCAACCUGAUCAACCACAGGAGGCACCACAAUUGAUAUCAGUUGCCCCUGUGAGAGGACGGAAAAUGAAACGAAUCUCGACUCAGUUAGAAGAGAAGAAAGAGGAGCAAAGAGGUCCAGAGGAGUGGCUCCGAGAUCCAGGGGAAGCGCCCCCGAGUCCAGGGGAGGGACCCUCAGUAAGACCACGGUCACCAACGCCUAUAAGGGCAUCAAGGAGUCCUGAAAGAGUAAAGGUGAGCAAGAUAUUGUUACCAUUGUUGAUCGAUCUCUGAAAAUGAAUGAAAUUCGAAGUCUGAGAAAAGACUUUUCACGUCACCCAAAUGAGCCUAUUGCCACUUGGUUACUUCGUUGUUGGGACAAUGGGGCCAAUAGUGUGUGGCUAGAUAGUAGAGAAGCGCGCCAGCUGGGUGGCAUUGCUAGGGACUCAGCCAUUGACCGGGGUAUUAGUACAUGCCAGAACCAGGCCUUCACCCUCUGGAAGAGGAUGUUGUUAGCUGUAAAAGAAAGAUACCCCUUCAAAGACGAUCUGAUGCCUGAGAAAAAGAAAUGGACUGAUAUAGAAAAAGGCAUCCAUUAUUUGAGAGAAUAUGCUGUGGUGGAAAUGCUACAUAGCCCUGAUUUCAUUCCUGAUGAGCCGGAUCAAGAGCAUGAUCCUGAGAGAGUCAGGUGUACACCAAAUAUGUGGCGUACAUUCACAAAGACUGCACCAGAAAGGUACGCCAGUACAUUUGCAGCAACGUAUGGCAGAGGGAAAAGAAGACCCCUUAUAAAUGAACUGAUUAAUAAACUUCAAGACUUUGAGUUACAUUUAAACCCUCUGCGAGCUUGUGUUUCAGCCAUCGCAAAAGUAGCUGAAAAGCUGAAUAGAAUGGAAAACAAACAAGAAGAUAUAAUAGACAAACUGUCAACCGUGCCUAAUGCUGAUGGAUCCACGGUGGUAACAGACACAUCCAAUGGGGACCAGAAUUCCCAGAACAGUCUACUGGAGGGGCUGAUCAACUUGGUUUCCUCCCAGUCGGUGUCAUCCAACGUCUCAGCUAUCAAAAGAAGACGUCCUCCUGCUCGAGCAAGUGACAACAGUAAGACUAUGUCACGUUUUGCCUUGUGGCAUUACCUACGUGACCAUGGAGAAGAUAUGAAGAAGUGGCAUAAACAACCUACUCCUGCACUUCUAGCACAGGUGAAAGAAUUACAAGACA
This 1280-nucleotide long non-coding RNA is filed under the name Phasianus colchicus (ring-necked pheasant). RNAcentral's name for it is "lncRNA (ENSPCLG00000015092.1)". The record is from RNAcentral. Lineage: Eukaryota; Metazoa; Chordata; Aves; Galliformes; Phasianidae.